AUAUAUUACAAUACGUAGAUUAAUAUAGAGUAUGAGAUAUGAGAUAU
This 47-nucleotide non-coding RNA is filed under the name Trypanosoma brucei brucei. The record is from RNAcentral. Lineage: Eukaryota; Euglenozoa; Kinetoplastea; Trypanosomatida; Trypanosomatidae.